GGGGGUAUAGCUUAGUGGUAGAGUGCAUGCUUAGCAUGCACACGGGCCUGAGGUCAAUCCCCAGUACUGCCA
This 72-nucleotide transfer RNA is filed under the name Camelus ferus (Wild Bactrian camel). It matches the Rfam family "tRNA". Rfam says of the family: Transfer RNA (tRNA) molecules are approximately 80 nucleotides in length. Their secondary structure includes four short double-helical elements and three loops (D, anti-codon, and T loops). The record is from Rfam by way of RNAcentral. Lineage: Eukaryota; Metazoa; Chordata; Mammalia; Artiodactyla; Camelidae.